AAGUCGUAACAAGGUUUCCGUAGGUGAACCUGCGGAAGGAUCAUUAACACGUAUCCAAACGUUAAACCCCCUGUGAACCUUCACCCGUACUCGUACGUCCGUGAGAAAAAGCAGCAAUAAUCCCUGGUAAAUAAUCGCCGAUCAGUUUUCGAUUCAGGGACGUCUGCAAGGAGCGUGCAUGUUGUGCGAAGCAAGUGGCCUGGCAUCCCCAAGCAGUUAGUGUCUGAAAGCGUCAUUAACUGUGUAAGGAUGACGCAGUCACGAUCGUUGGAGGCCCACACGGCCGACGACCGGGUCACUGGGCGCAAGCCCCCCUAUAACAAACGCUGCUAAUCGCGGCCGCGAUAAUACGCAGUCGACCAAAAACCGAACAACUGUUAACAAUGGAUAUCUUGGUUCUC
RNAcentral lists this unclassified non-coding RNA (401 nucleotides) under fungal sp. RNAcentral describes it as "partial internal transcribed spacer region". The stretch from base 1 to 46 matches the Rfam family "Eukaryotic small subunit ribosomal RNA", at positions 1786 to 1831 of the family's 1831-position model. Lineage: Eukaryota; Fungi. The record is from RNAcentral.